GGCCCCAUCGUCUAGUGGUUAGGACGCCAGGUUUUCAUCCUGGUAACAGGAGUUCGAUUCUCCUUGGGGCUACCA
Molecule: transfer RNA, 75 nt
Filed under: Candidatus Peribacteria bacterium
Lineage: Bacteria; Candidatus Peregrinibacteriota; Candidatus Peribacteria
Also listed under: 1 other name
Description: tRNA-Glu
Rfam family: tRNA
About the family: Transfer RNA (tRNA) molecules are approximately 80 nucleotides in length.
Source: RNAcentral